Molecule: ribosomal RNA, 494 nt
Filed under: uncultured bacterium
Lineage: Bacteria
Description: partial 16S ribosomal RNA
Rfam family: Bacterial small subunit ribosomal RNA
Source: RNAcentral
GACGAACGCUGGCGGCGUGCCUAAUACAUGCAAGUAGAACGCUGAAGGAGGAGCUUGCUUCUCUGGAUGAGUUGCGAACGGGUGAGUAACGCGUAGGUAACCUGCCUGGUAGCGGGGGAUAACUCUUGGAAACGAUAGCUAAUACCGCAUAAGAGUAGAUGUUGCAUGACAUUUGCUUAAAAGGUGCAAUUGCAUCACUACCAGAUGGACCUGCGUUGUAUUAGCUAGUUGGUGGGGUAACGGCUUACCAAGGCGACGAUACAUAGCCGACCUGAGAGGGUGAUCGGCCACACUGGGACUGAGACACGGCCCAGACUCCUACGGGAGGCAGCAGUAGGGAAUCUUCGGCAAUGGACGGAAGUCUGACCGAGCAACGCCGCGUGAGUGAAGAAGGUUUUCGGAUCGUAAAGCUCUGUUGUAAGGGAAGAACGAGUGUGAGAGUGGAAAGUUCACACUGUGACGGUAUCUUACCAGAAAGGGACGGCUAACUACGU